This 469-nucleotide ribosomal RNA is filed under the name uncultured bacterium. Its description in RNAcentral is "partial 16S ribosomal RNA". The stretch from base 50 to 469 matches the Rfam family "Bacterial small subunit ribosomal RNA", at positions 39 to 507 of the family's 1533-position model. The record is from RNAcentral.
GGGGGGGGGGGGGGGGGGGGGGGGGGGGGGGGGGGGGGGGGGGGGGGGGGUGGUGGGGGGGUGGUCGGGGGGCGGAGGGGUGGGGAGGCCGUGGGUGCGGGGGGCCGGGCGUUGGGAUAGGGGUGGGACACUGGGUCUAGUCCUGGAUGGGACCAGGAGGUCGGUGGGGUGGUGGACAGAUUGGUUUCGGUAAGGGAUGAGCUCGCGGCCUAUCAGCUUGUUGGUGGGGUAAUGGCCUACCAAGGCGUCGACGGGUAGCCGGCCUGAGAGGGUGGACGGCCACAUUGGGACUGAGAUACGGCCCAGACUCCUACGGGAGGCAGCAGUGGGGAAUAUUGCACAAUGGGCGCAAGCCUGAUGCAGCGACGCCGCGUGGGGGAUGACGGCCUUCGGGUUGUAAACUCCUUUCAGCCAUGACGAAGCCCUUGUGGUGACGGUAGUGGUAGAAGAAGCACCGGCUAACUACGUG